This 307-nucleotide unclassified non-coding RNA is filed under the name uncultured fungus. RNAcentral's name for it is "partial contains 5.8S ribosomal RNA, internal transcribed spacer 2, and large subunit ribosomal RNA". The stretch from base 1 to 52 matches the Rfam family "5.8S ribosomal RNA", at positions 103 to 154 of the family's 154-position model. The record is from RNAcentral. Lineage: Eukaryota; Fungi.
AACGCACCUUGCGCUCCUUGGUAUUCCGAGGAGCAUGCCUGUUUGAGUGUCAUUGAAUCUUCAACUUACAAGCUUUCUUAUCGAAGGUUUGUAGGCUUGGAUUUGGAGGCUUGUCGGACUUUAUUAUACGGGUCGGCUCCUCUUAAAUGCAUUAGCUUGGUUCCUUGCGGAUCGGCUUGUCGGUGUGAUAAUAAAGUCUACGCCGCAACCGUGAAGCGUGUUUGGACGAGCUUCUAAUGGUCUCGUUAGAGAGACGACUUUUAUGACCUCUGACCUCAAAUCAGGUAGGACUACCCGCUGAACUUAA